Molecule: ribosomal RNA, 1456 nt
Filed under: Streptococcus salivarius
Lineage: Bacteria; Bacillati; Bacillota; Bacilli; Lactobacillales; Streptococcaceae
Description: bacterial SSU rRNA
Rfam family: Bacterial small subunit ribosomal RNA
Source: RNAcentral
CAGGGGGGGGGUGCUAAUACAUGCAAGUAGAACGCUGAAGAGAGGAGCUUGCUCUUCUUGGAUGAGUUGCGAACGGGUGAGUAACGCGUAGGUAACCUGCCUUGUAGCGGGGGAUAACUAUUGGAAACGAUAGCUAAUACCGCAUAACAAUGGAUGACACAUGUCAUUUAUUUGAAAGGGGCAAUUGCUCCACUACAAGAUGGACCUGCGUUGUAUUAGCUAGUAGGUGAGGUAACGGCUCACCUAGGCGACGAUACAUAGCCGACCUGAGAGGGUGAUCGGCCACACUGGGACUGAGACACGGCCCAGACUCCUACGGGAGGCAGCAGUAGGGAAUCUUCGGCAAUGGGGGCAACCCUGACCGAGCAACGCCGCGUGAGUGAAGAAGGUUUUCGGAUCGUAAAGCUCUGUUGUAAGUCAAGAACGAGUGUGAGAGUGGAAAGUUCACACUGUGACGGUAGCUUACCAGAAAGGGACGGCUAACUACGUGCCAGCAGCCGCGGUAAUACGUAGGUCCCGAGCGUUGUCCGGAUUUAUUGGGCGUAAAGCGAGCGCAGGCGGUUUGAUAAGUCUGAAGUUAAAGGCUGUGGCUCAACCAUAGUUCGCUUUGGAAACUGUCAAACUUGAGUGCAGAAGGGGAGAGUGGAAUUCCAUGUGUAGCGGUGAAAUGCGUAGAUAUAUGGAGGAACACCGGUGGCGAAAGCGGCUCUCUGGUCUGUAACUGACGCUGAGGCUCGAAAGCGUGGGGAGCGAACAGGAUUAGAUACCCUGGUAGUCCACGCCGUAAACGAUGAGUGCUAGGUGUUGGAUCCUUUCCGGGAUUCAGUGCCGCAGCUAACGCAUUAAGCACUCCGCCUGGGGAGUACGACCGCAAGGUUGAAACUCAAAGGAAUUGACGGGGGCCCGCACAAGCGGUGGAGCAUGUGGUUUAAUUCGAAGCAACGCGAAGAACCUUACCAGGUCUUGACAUCCCGAUGCUAUUUCUAGAGAUAGAAAGUUACUUCGGUACAUCGGUGACAGGUGGUGCAUGGUUGUCGUCAGCUCGUGUCGUGAGAUGUUGGGUUAAGUCCCGCAACGAGCGCAACCCCUAUUGUUAGUUGCCAUCAUUCAGUUGGGCACUCUAGCGAGACUGCCGGUAAUAAACCGGAGGAAGGUGGGGAUGACGUCAAAUCAUCAUGCCCCUUAUGACCUGGGCUACACACGUGCUACAAUGGUUGGUACAACGAGUUGCGAGUCGGUGACGGCAAGCUAAUCUCUUAAAGCCAAUCUCAGUUCGGAUUGUAGGCUGCAACUCGCCUACAUGAAGUCGGAAUCGCUAGUAAUCGCGGAUCAGCACGCCGCGGUGAAUACGUUCCCGGGCCUUGUACACACCGCCCGUCACACCACGAGAGUUUGUAACACCCGAAGUCGGUGAGGUAACCUUUUGGAGCCAGCCGCCUAAGGUGGAUUAAGAGGG